GAUGAACGCGGGCGGCGUGCCUAACACAUGCAAGUCGAACGGAGAUUUAACGCUGAUGAAGCUUCGGCAGAUUCUUGUUAAAUCUUAGUGGCGGACGGGUGAGUAACGCGUGGGCAACCUGCCUCAUACUGGGGGAUAACAGCUGGAAACGACUGUUAAUACCGCAUAAGCGCACGGUAUCGCAUGAUACAGUGUGAAAAACUCCGGUGGUAUGAGAUGGGCCCGCGUCAGAUUAGCCAGUUGGCAGGGUAACGGCCUACCAAAGCGACGAUCUGUAGCCGGCCUGAGAGGGCGGACGGCCACAUUGGGACUGAGACACGGCCCAAACUCCUACGGGAGGCAGCAGUGGGGGAUAUUGCACAAUGGAGGAAACUCUGAUGCAGCGACGCCGCGUGAGUGAAGAAGUAUUUCGGUAUGUAAAGCUCUAUCAGCAGGGAAGAAAGACUCGUAAGAGAGAUGACGUAC
RNAcentral lists this ribosomal RNA (465 nucleotides) under bacterium LC2017. Its description in RNAcentral is "bacterial SSU rRNA". It matches the Rfam family "Bacterial small subunit ribosomal RNA", at positions 28 to 478 of the family's 1533-position model. The record is from RNAcentral.